RNAcentral lists this ribosomal RNA (273 nucleotides) under Citrobacter koseri. Its description in RNAcentral is "partial 23S ribosomal RNA". It matches the Rfam family "Bacterial large subunit ribosomal RNA", at positions 214 to 525 of the family's 2925-position model. Lineage: Bacteria; Pseudomonadati; Pseudomonadota; Gammaproteobacteria; Enterobacterales; Enterobacteriaceae. The record is from RNAcentral.
AGGAAAAGAAAUCAACCGAGAUUCCCCCAGUAGCGGCGAGCGAACGGGGAGGAGCCCAGAGCCUGAAUCAGCUUGUGUGUUAGUGGAAGCGUCUGGAAAGUCGCACGGUACAGGGUGAAAGUCCCGUACACGAAAACGCACAGGCUGUGAGCUCGAUGAGUAGGGCGGGACACGUGGUAUCCUGUCUGAAUAUGGGGGGACCAUCCUCCAAGGCUAAAUACUCCUGACUGACCGAUAGUGAACCAGUACCGUGAGGGAAAGGCGAAAAGAACC